This 433-nucleotide ribosomal RNA is filed under the name uncultured bacterium. RNAcentral describes it as "partial 16S ribosomal RNA". It matches the Rfam family "Bacterial small subunit ribosomal RNA", at positions 29 to 507 of the family's 1533-position model. The record is from RNAcentral.
AACGAACGCUGGCGGCAUGCCUAACACAUGCAAGUCGAACGAGACCUUCGGGUCUAGUGGCGCACGGGUGCGUAACGCGUGGGAACCUGCCCUUAGGUUCGGCAUAACUCCCCGAAAGGGGUGCUAAUACCGGAUAAUGUCUUCGGACCAAAGAUUUAUCGCCUUUGGUUGGGCCCGCGUUGGAUUAGCUAGUUGGUAGGGUAAAAGCCUACCAAGGCGACGAUCCAUAGCUGGUCUGAGAGGAUGAUCAGCCACACUGGGACUGAGACACGGCCCAGACUCCUACGGGAGGCAGCAGUGGGGAAUAGUGGACAAUGGGCGAAAGCCUGAUCCAGCAAUGCCGCGUGAGUGAUGAAGGCCUGAGGGUUGUAAAGCUCUUUUACCCGGGAUGAUAAUGACAGUACCGGGAGAAUAAGCUCCGGCUAACUCCGUG